AGGGGCGUCGCCAAGCGGUAAGGCAGCAGGUUUUGAUCCUGCCAUGCGUUGGUUCGAAUCCAGUCGCCCCUGCCA
This 75-nucleotide transfer RNA is filed under the name Pseudomonas sp. MN1F. RNAcentral's name for it is "tRNA-Gln". It matches the Rfam family "tRNA". Rfam says of the family: Transfer RNA (tRNA) molecules are approximately 80 nucleotides in length. Their secondary structure includes four short double-helical elements and three loops (D, anti-codon, and T loops). The record is from RNAcentral. Lineage: Bacteria; Pseudomonadati; Pseudomonadota; Gammaproteobacteria; Pseudomonadales; Pseudomonadaceae.